Long non-coding RNA from Cyprinus carpio carpio, 1590 nucleotides. The record is from Ensembl. Lineage: Eukaryota; Metazoa; Chordata; Actinopteri; Cypriniformes; Cyprinidae.
GAGCACGUCACUUCUAGGUAAAUUUACACAGAAAUUAAAUUUCGCUGCCCCUCGUUUUAAACAUAAUCCUAGGCUGAAUUUUUAUAGUGCACUGAUCGAUAUCUUGGUAAAAUAAUCAUUUUUUUUUUUAAACUAGCGAGGCAGUGAAAUCUUUGCUUUGUUGCUAAAGUCAACAGUGACAGAGUUUGAGCUCAAAUAAAUGCCGCGAGGCUUCCAGCCCUGUGCAGAAGGCAGCGGGAGAGGCUCCGAUACCGUUCUGCAGGCUCCAGGAGGAUUGUGCGUGCAACAAUGCGAUUUCACGGCAAUGUAGCUCGACGCUUGAACAGAGCUGAUGUUAAGGGGCUCUUUCAGCCGACUGUCAGAACGCUAUUCCAGCUGAUUGAUGCCAAUGAUACCGGAGAAGACAUGCAUUGCUUUCGCCGUGCCAGUAACAGCAGCUCAUCAAAUGGAGUUCUUCUCAGGUUUGGUCUCAAAGAGUACAGCAGAGAUAAGACUCAGCCACACAAUGUCCCCUCAGUAGGUCUCAUUGACCGGCCCAUGGCACCGGCCAGAUCUGAACUAAUCAGUUGUCAUCUUCAUCGUAGUGCCACUUCAUUUGGCAACUGCUGGUUCAACCCUUUCCAUCAGCCACGUUCACCUGCAGCUACCCACAGUCACGUCUGACCUGGAUGCAUGAGCAAGAUAACAUUCACAUCUGCAACGUCAAGAGAGAGGGGCACAAGGAAGCCUGACAUUAAUGAUUAACAGCGCUAAAAGCCCCUGCUUUUGUAUUCCCAUGGAGCCGGGGCUAUCUGCCGAUCAUGUGACCUGCACCGAGAAGAUUGGGGGAUUGAGCGCAAAAGCAAACACAGGUGUUUGGGCUGAAAUCGGUCGGUCGGUGCUGUUAGGGACAACUGCAAACACAGGCUGCCAUGCCUGGAGAUGCGAAUGCCCGCCCACACCAACAGGACAGCCAACCGGAGUCAUUGACUCAACUCUGAUGCUCUCGGCCUGCCUUUUCUCUGAACAAUUAAGACUCUUCAUUGGCCUAUUAAAGUCUGCUCUUUGAGUACAGUUUGACCUAAGGAGCUAUGAAUUCUUAAUUGAGCAUCAUAAAUAGGCAAAACCAUAAAUAAAAAUAAACAAAGCUUUUUAUAAAUAAAUAGAUAACAUAAAAACCACUUUCUUAAUGUAGCAAAAUGUUGUAAAAUUAUUGCACCUCAUAUGAGGUCACCACUUAUAGUGUCAACGUUUUUAAGUUCAAUUCACAUUGUUUGCAAGAGACUUGUCUGGUUUCGUUCAUCUAAAAAUCUAGUUCAUCAUUGUAAGCUAGUUUCGAGUUGAUUGAGAGGGAGGGCGUUUGUUGAUUUAAAUGCGAAUAUGGAUGUAAUUUAUUUUCUCAUACUUGGCUGCACUCAUUUUUAAUGCAAGCAUGAUUAAAUAAACAUAUUUUAAUCCACAUAUUACACUCUAUUUGUUUAUUUAAAAUGUAUGUCAAAUCAUUUUUAGAAACAACGAUUGUAAACAAUGUAAAUGAAGUCGAAGGAGCAUCCAGCUGCUGAUCUAGAUGCAGCAUUUCCUUCCUACUAGUAAUUAUGUUUUGAACUUGAG